Long non-coding RNA from Fukomys damarensis (Damara mole-rat), 3748 nucleotides. The record is from Ensembl. Lineage: Eukaryota; Metazoa; Chordata; Mammalia; Rodentia; Bathyergidae.
AUGAGAACGGCCGAGUUCACAUCAGGGAAACCAGCUGGCAAGCUUCUCCAGGAAAAUCAACAGUACACCAUCUUCCCUCCAGUUCUUUUAUUCUGUUGGCAACAAACAAUUCUCAGCGCUCCCAACUCCAGGUCCUGCAGACCCAGGCGAGAGCUGCAUCCCAGCCGUGAGGAGGAAUCUAUAGGCGCGACCGCCAGCAUCAGACACGCGGCUGUCUCUGCUGCUGUCGCUCGCCUUCUGCCAAUCAGAGCCACGGUUCCAGGUCAGCCUAUCUCUGCCAAGCCGGCCUCCAAACACCCUGAACGCUACCCGCGCUGCGGAGAGGAGGGGUGAAGCUCUCAAUCCCGCUGUUUCUUUUCUUUCUUUUUUGGUUGCAGUGACUUCCUAAGUUCUGGAGCUACCCAUACUGUGUUGAAAAGGAAUGGUGAGAGCAGGCAUCCUUGUGAUCUUGCUCUGAUCCUAAUUGAAGGAGGAAAGGGGCUUUCACUGUUAAGUGCUGUUACCUGUAUUUUUUUUUUCCUUUCAAUUUUUUGUGGCCGUUCUUUCUCAAGUUGAGGAAAUUCCCUUCCACUUUUAGCUUGGUAAAUAUUUCUUUUUCCUCGAGUGGGUGUUGGAUUUUGUCAAAUGCUUUUUCUGCAUCAUCCGGGCUUGCUGAGUCCACAUUUCGGAUUCUAGGAAAUCCCUCUUUCCAGAAUAAUUGCCCACGUGAAGGAAUUUCUGCUUUCUGUAGGCAGUCGCCACCUAUGCCCAAAAGUGUUUGGUGGGAACCCAUGAAAAGGCCAUCAUUUCAAACUAGACCUGCCACGAAAACUACAUUUUCCAAGGUAGCUAGUAUUUGCUCUCAGCACCACCUGUAGAAACAUAUUAACAACAUAGUUGAUGUUGAAUUUCACUCAGUCUUGUCCAAUUCUAGUUUUAUAAUCACUUCAAACUGAACCUGGUCCCGAAUGUAGUUUAAGUGUAGUCUUUGAGAUCUCAGCAAGUUCUCAAAUAAAAACACACAGUCACAAAAAGAAGCAACAAGUUACGCCAAAGGGUUUUGUUCGCAUUAAUAAGGACUGCACUGAGCUACAUUCCCUGCCCUUUAAAAACUGUUUUGAGACAGGGUCUCUAUAAGUUGCUAAGUCACCCAGGCUAGGCUGAACUUGGAAUCCUGCCUCAGCCUUCCAUAGUGUGGAAUUAAAGGCAUGUUUCACUGGCCAUGUUUUUUCUUUUUUUGGCACUGGGGGUUGAAUUUGGGACCUUGUGCUUUCGAGGCAGGCGGUGGCACCACUUCACUGGCCAUGUUUUAAACACUUGUUUUUCAGGAUUCUUAAGCUAUGGAUUAAGGAUAUGAUACCUUAUCAAAGGAGUUCUCAGAGCCUUUUUGUUUUGUUUUGUUUUGUUUUUUGAGACAGGGUCUCACUAUGUAGUUGAGACUGACCUGGAACACUAUGUAGCUAAAGGAGUUCUCAGAGCCUUUUUGUUUUGUUUUGUUUUGUUUUUUGAGACAGGGUCUCACUAUGUAGUUGAGACUGACCUGGAACUCACUAUGUAGCCCAGGUUGGUCUUGUACUCACAGACAUCCUCCUGCCUCAGCCUCCGAGUGCUGGGAUUACAGGCUUACAAGGCGUGUGCCACCACACCUGGCCCAUCAGAGCCUUUGAUAUAUAAUAUAUUAUAAACUUCUGAAGAGGAGAAAUGGAGGUAUUUUAUUUCAGAAUGCCUUUUGGAUAAUUAUCUUUGGAGAAUGCUGGUUUACAGGUGAAAGAAGUCUAAAUUCAUAGAAAAGAAAUAUUUUUUCACAUUAAGGAAAAGUAACACAGGCUAAUAUGUGUAACUCUUGCUCAGUUCUACUCAAUACAAUACAUUAAAGUACACUUAGUCUAAAUAUAACAUUUAGAUGUGUAGUUUGUUUUUCCUUUCACAAGAUGAUUUGCCUUAGAAGACUAUUCAAGGGAAUCUUUCAGAUCAAAGGACAGCUUGGCCAAAAGGGAUUCUAUGAACACUUUGAAAGUGGUAGUUUGUUCAAUUUCUACUUACGUCCUGAUGAUUUAAGAAAAAGAAACUGCUUUAGGACACUAACAGUUACAUUUGGAUUUGGUUAUUUGCAGUUCUUUAAGCCCAAACACGUUUCAAACAGGAGUUUUAAAGUGGGAGUAUGCGUGCCAGAGUGAAGCUGCCUGAGUUCAAAAUUCAGUUUUCUGCUACCAUGGUCCCAGCCCACAACCAGUGAGACUGUGGACAGCCAUUUAGCUUCUCCGUCUUACAGUUGUUUUUACAGUGUGCAAGUACUAUAACAAAACUAAGCAAGUAGAGAAAGAAAUUUGAUCUUCUUUGACUCUUGGUGAAACAUUCUCUGAACGUUCAACUUGCCCAGGCCCACUAAGGUGAUCCACGCUGCUAGAGUGACUAAAACCAUUGUUCACUUGGACUUUAAUAUGAAUGUGGGUAUUUUUCUGCUUCAUUAUAUUGCCUGCCAAUUUAAGAUGAAAAUCGAAGGGGUCAGGGAUUUAGCUCAGUGGCAUCAUGCCUGCCUCAUCAGCGCAAGGUCCUGAGUGUGAUCCCUGAUCCCACAGAGAGAGAGAGAGAGAGAGAAUGAGAGAUUAAAAAUGGAAGCUCUGCCAUUCAAAAUUGUAACGAAUGUAUAAUGUAACUGCAUAUGAAUAAAUAGGCUUGAGAUAUAGUUGACACAACUCAUAAAUAUUUCCUGAAGUCUGCAGGAAUAUGAGAAGGCAAUGGACUUUUCGGAGCACUUGGCACACUUCAGAUACUACCCUAUACUUCCCAGUGAUUCUUCAUCCUCAGAACUGCACUGUGAUUAGGUAUUAAGAGGAAACUCAGCCUUUGCAAGAUGAUAAUCCCCAAAGACAAAGAAUGUACAGUAUAUUUGGCUCUGUAUGAUUUCAGUGCGUGAAUCUACACAGGAUGAAAUAACAGAAGUAUACAUACAUUAUACAGAUGUCAAAUCCCUACUUUUGAUACUGCAGUAAAACUACAUAAGGUGUAACAUUGGGAGGUAGCUUUGAGGAGUACUGGUCAGCCACUCGGUUUCGGUUUGUCCAAAGUUUUACUCAGGGGUUAUGGAUUUAGAAGUAGAGCACAUAGGUCAAUACUAUGUUUGCAAUUGUUAAAUUAAUGAUUUCAAAUAAAAUAAAAAAAUCAACCGGGGAUAAAUGUUUACUAUAAUUCCCCCAACAUUCACACAACCCUACUAAGAUAAGUGGAGUAAUUCGGAAUGAGGAACUAAGCUUAAUUAUGCUCCAGCACCUCAUACCCUUUAAAAAAAUUAUUAUGCACUGCAAACAUGUACUAAUCACAAUAAGUCAAAUAAAUUUUGGUGGAAAAAUGGGGCUGGGAUAGCACCUGCUCUACCACUGAGCUACAACCCCAGCCCCUAUCAGGCAUUUUUUUGGGAGGGGGGCAGGGUCUCGCUAAGUAAUUCAGGCUGUCCUGUAACUCACGGUUCUCCUGCCUCAGCCUCCUGUGUGCUGGGAUUAGAAGCGCGCGCCAGCACGCCGGCUGUGUUCAACACAAAGAUUUAGAAUCUGGGAGUCAGGCUUUAUAAUUAACGUCACGGGAUUUGGAAGGCCGUCCAGUUCCCUCAAGCACAAAGUAGAGGCUCGUCAGAUUGUUUAUUCAGACUGGAACCAAAACCAGACCGAGGCCGGCUUACGGCCUCUCGGAUCUACUGCACCGCGCGUGCGGGGAACCGUCAGGAAGCUGCCGCGAAAGGCCCACCGGUAGCACGCAGAAAGGCGGCACGGCC